GACGUAGGGUGCAAGCGUUGUCCGGAUUUAUUGGGCGUAAAGAGCUCGUAGGCGGCUCGUCGCGUCGACCGUGAAAACCUGCCGCUUAACGGUGGGCUUGCGGUCGAUACGGGUGGGCUAGAGUGUGGUAGGGGAGACUGGAAUUCCUGGUGUAGCGGUGAAAUGCGCAGAUAUCAGGAGGAACACCGGUGGCGAAGGCGGGUCUCUGGGCCAAUACUGACGCUGAGGAGCGAAAGCAUGGGGAGCAAACAGG
This 253-nucleotide ribosomal RNA is filed under the name uncultured bacterium. Its description in RNAcentral is "partial 16S ribosomal RNA". It matches the Rfam family "Bacterial small subunit ribosomal RNA", at positions 524 to 776 of the family's 1533-position model. The record is from RNAcentral.